CUCCAGUCAAGCCAGUUGAGCUGCCAAGCUUCUUUUAACCCUAUUUUUGACCCAUUUUUCUUGGUAAGCCUUGGUAUGCUUGAUUUGGUUUAGUCUACCCAGCUAAGGUUUAUUUUGACCUUAACUAAGUUAAUUGUUGGAUUAAAUUGACUAUAGUUAACUGGAAGCCGAGCUGGGAAUUUGUCCAACUAAGUCUAAACCGAGUUAGGCCUUGAUCUUGGGACAUCGCUGCUUGGAAGGCGUGAUUUUACUGUUAAAUUUUGAUUGAUCUAAUCUCCAGUCAGAGGCAGAGAUAAGAGCAAAGGCAAGCUGGCGAGUGACCAGAAGUGAUCGUGGCGAGCCAUAGGGAUCUUUUGCUUCCGCUUUAUGUCAUUGUUCAGAUUUUAAUGUUUGCAUUUUAUUUUAUUCUUUAUUUGUUAUUUUAUUUCUUUAAAACUAGAUAGGGCCCAAGUUAAGAUUUUAUUUUUGUACUUAUCUCUAAUCACAUUUGUUUAUGCUUUUAAAUGAAAAUUUUGAGGUUUUGUUUUA
This is a long non-coding RNA of Cucumis melo (muskmelon), 528 nucleotides long. RefSeq lists it as uncharacterized. Lineage: Eukaryota; Viridiplantae; Streptophyta; Magnoliopsida; Cucurbitales; Cucurbitaceae. The record is from RefSeq and is a predicted model, not a curated record. The transcript is spliced from 3 exons.